Molecule: ribosomal RNA, 482 nt
Filed under: uncultured bacterium
Lineage: Bacteria
Description: partial 16S ribosomal RNA
Rfam family: Bacterial small subunit ribosomal RNA
Source: RNAcentral
GACGAACGCUGGCGGCGUGCUUAACACAUGCAAGUCGAACGGAAAGGCCCUGCUUGCAGGGUACUCGAGUGGCGAACGGGUGAGUAACACGGGGGUGAUCUGCCCUGCACUUCGGGCUAAGCUUGGGAAACUGGGUCUAAUACCGGAUAGGAACCAUCUUUGGUGUGGUGGUUGGAAAGUUUUUUCGGUGUAGGAUGAGCUCGGGGCCUAUCAGCUUGUUGGUGGGGUAAUGGGCUACCAAGGCGGCGAGGGGUGGCCGGCCUGAGAGGGUGUACGGCCACAUUGGGACUGAGAUACGGCCCAGACUCCUACGGGAGGCAGCAGUGGGGAAUAUUGCACAAUGGGCGCAAGCCUGAUGCAGCGACGCCGCGUGGGGGAUGAAGGCCUUCGGGUUGUAAACUCCUUUCGCUAGGGACGAAGCUUUGUUGUGACGGUACCUAGAUAAGAAGCACCGGCUAACUACGUGCCAGCAGCCGCAGUAA